UACAAAUUAAUAAAACAAGCAAGUGUUAUUCAACAUCAUCAUAAGUUUGUAAACCUAUAUAUUAGUUUAUAAUUUUUUUAGUUUUAUUAAACACAAGUAGAUUUUUUUUAUCGUUUAAAUACUAUAUCUAUUUGAUCUCAGUACUUUAAAUAUGAGAGUGACAAGCAUAAUAUUAUUUUGUGUAUUUUCCGCUAUUGCUAGUCUAUCAUUCACUCAAAAUCCUGUUUUAGUUAAAGGCGAUCAACAGGAAAAUGAAGACCAUAAACCGCUCUAAUAAAGGGUCCUAAUUAAUACAAUAAAAUAAAAAAUGUACGAUUAUUUAUGUCAUAUUAAUUACAACUUAAAAGUAAAGUAAUAUACUUAAAUGUAAUAAUAAAUAAAUAUACAUAAUGUGUAUUA
This is a long non-coding RNA of Daktulosphaira vitifoliae (grape phylloxera), 399 nucleotides long. RefSeq lists it as uncharacterized. The record is from RefSeq and is a predicted model, not a curated record. The transcript is spliced from 3 exons. NCBI's taxonomy places the organism in Eukaryota, Metazoa, Arthropoda, Insecta, Hemiptera, Phylloxeridae.